UUGAUAAGCAGAGAGAGAUUCUAAACUCCUUUGAUGGGAGGUGCUCAGCUCUGCCAGUUGCAGUUGUGAGACAUUUGAACAAGACACCAGACAGGAAACUGAUCUGAAUGUCUCGUCAAACCCAUGUCAGAAUGACUCACCACUUCAAAAGUCACAGGUGAUCACUGUGCGCAUUUCUGUUCUCUCCUCUUUGGUCGAGAACGGACUUAUCAGGAGGAGCAAUGUAAGACGCUAGCUGAUGAUGCAGCUGUAUGGUCUCGUUUCAGUUGUUCUGGCCUCUAAAAGUUUCCUGCUACAGAUGCAAAACCUGCAGACAUUUUGGGGAGGACUGCUAUCCAUAUAACUAACUAAACUCGGCUGGCAAAAUGUAUGAUUAAUGGCAGUGGAGCCUUUCUUGGUUUGCGGCUGCAAAAGCAUCAGUGGUUUUCUGCUUAGAAACAGAUGGAUGAGUGUUUUGGAUAAACCAUCACUAAAUUCUUUGCUUGCACAGAGCCUGUGUGCUGACUUGAAGAGAGCCAUAUUCCUCUGGAUAUUCAAACAUGUUUUACAGCCAAUAUCUGUUGUGAGUAAAAGUUACUAUGCAUAAUACACCAGCUGAAAUAUUUGUAC
RNAcentral lists this long non-coding RNA (609 nucleotides) under Dromaius novaehollandiae (emu). Its description in RNAcentral is "lncRNA (ENSDNVG00000003972.1)". The record is from RNAcentral. Lineage: Eukaryota; Metazoa; Chordata; Aves; Casuariiformes; Dromaiidae.